RNAcentral lists this ribosomal RNA (301 nucleotides) under uncultured bacterium. Its description in RNAcentral is "partial 16S ribosomal RNA". It matches the Rfam family "Bacterial small subunit ribosomal RNA", at positions 509 to 809 of the family's 1533-position model. The record is from RNAcentral.
CAGCAGCCGCGGUAAUACGUAGGUCCCGAGCGUUGUCCGGAUUUAUUGGGCGUAAAGGGAGCGCAGGCGGUUUAGUAAGUCUGAAGUUAAAGGCAUUGGCUCAACCAAUGUAUGCUUUGGAAACUGUUAGACUUGAGUGCAGAAGGGGAGAGUGGAAUUCCAUGUGUAGCGGUGAAAUGCGUGGAUAUAUGGAGGAACACCGGUGGCGAAGGCGGCCAUCUGGGACAACACUGACGCUGAGGCACGAAAGCGUGGGGAGCAAACAGGAUUAGAUACCCCCGUAGUCCCUGUCUCUUAUCAA